CACAUGAAUCAGUUGGAAAGGUUUAGAAGUUCUAAUGGAGCUAUCAGAAAAAGGGAGCCUGGUUUGUCUGGCCAUAGGGCAGACAGAGCAAGGAAAUGACUGUUUGGGAGCAAAUUGGAAAGGAAGACCAGAAAUGCAUUUCAUGUUAGCAAAUGGAAUGUGUGCAAGUCUUAAGUGCCAAGUGUAAUUCAUAUCAGAAUUAAAAUCAUUAUUACAAGUGGAUCUAUUAACAUAAGAAUGCAUAGAAACAGUCUUGUUUUCAGAUAAAAGAUCAUCAUUACAAGAUGGCACAGAAACAACUUGUUUAUUACUAGCAGUAUAAGAAACAGGAACAGGAUUACAAGGAGUAGGGGAAGAAGGAGACCAAGCUAGUUUAUACAGCC
RNAcentral lists this long non-coding RNA (383 nucleotides) under Nicotiana benthamiana. RNAcentral's name for it is "long non-coding RNA (NBEN_LNC024174)". The record is from RNAcentral. Lineage: Eukaryota; Viridiplantae; Streptophyta; Magnoliopsida; Solanales; Solanaceae.